GACGAACGCUGGCGGCGUGCUUAACACAUGCAAGUCGAGCGGUAAGGCCUUUCGGGGUACACGAGCGGCGAACGGGUGAGUAACACGUGGGUGAUCUGCCCUGCACUUCGGGAUAAGCCUGGGAAACUGGGCCUAAUACCGGAUAUGACCUCCUAUCGCAUGGUGGGUGGUGGAAAGAUUUAUCGGUGCAGGAUGGGCCCGCGGCCUAUCAGCUUGUUGGUGGGGUAAUGGCCUACCAAGGCGACGACGGGUAGCCGACCUGAGAGGGUGACCGGCCACACUGGGACUGAGACACGGCCCAGACUCCUACGGGAGGCAGCAGUGGGGAAUAUUGCACAAUGGGCGAAAGCCUGAUGCAGCGACGCCGCGUGAGGGAUGACGGCCUUCGGGUUGUAAACCUCUUUCAGCAGGGACGAAGCGCAAGUGACGGUACCUGCAGAAGAAGCACCGGCUAACUACGUG
RNAcentral lists this ribosomal RNA (462 nucleotides) under uncultured bacterium. RNAcentral describes it as "partial 16S ribosomal RNA". It matches the Rfam family "Bacterial small subunit ribosomal RNA", at positions 28 to 507 of the family's 1533-position model. The record is from RNAcentral.